AGAUUAAGUUAUUAAGGGCGCACGGUGGAUGCCUUGGCACUAGAAGCCGAUGAAGGACGUUACUAACGACGAUAUGCUUUGGGGAGCUGUAAGUAAGCUUUGAUCCAGAGAUUUCCGAAUGGGGAAACCCAGCAUGAGUUAUGUCAUGUUAUCGAUAUGUGAAUACAUAGCAUAUCAGAAGGCACACCCGGAGAACUGAAACAUCUUAGUACCCGGAGGAAGAAAAAGAAAAUUCGAUUCCCUUAGUAGCGGCGAGCGAAACGGGAAGAGCCCAAACCAACAAGCUUGCUUGUUGGGGUUGUAGGACACUCUAUACGGAGUUACAAAGGACGACAUUAGACGAAUCAUCUGGAAAGAUGAAUCAAAGAAGGUAAUAAUCCUGUAGUCGAAAAUGUUGUCUCUCUUGAGUGGAUCCUGAGUACGACGGAACACGUGAAAUUCCGUCGGAAUCUGGGAGG
RNAcentral lists this ribosomal RNA (458 nucleotides) under Staphylococcus aureus. RNAcentral's name for it is "partial 23S ribosomal RNA". It matches the Rfam family "Bacterial large subunit ribosomal RNA", at positions 1 to 451 of the family's 2925-position model. The record is from RNAcentral. Lineage: Bacteria; Bacillati; Bacillota; Bacilli; Caryophanales; Staphylococcaceae.